RNAcentral lists this transfer RNA (74 nucleotides) under Gemmatimonadota bacterium. Its description in RNAcentral is "tRNA-His". It matches the Rfam family "tRNA". Rfam says of the family: Transfer RNA (tRNA) molecules are approximately 80 nucleotides in length. Their secondary structure includes four short double-helical elements and three loops (D, anti-codon, and T loops). Further hydrogen bonds mediate the characteristic L-shaped molecular structure. tRNAs have two regions of fundamental functional importance: the anti-codon, which is responsible for specific mRNA codon recognition, and the 3' end, to which the tRNAs corresponding amino acid is attached (by aminoacyl-tRNA synthetases). tRNAs cope with the degeneracy of the genetic code in two manners: having more than one tRNA (with a specific anti-codon) for a particular amino acid; and 'wobble' base-pairing, i.e. permitting non-standard base-pairing at the 3rd anti-codon position. Lineage: Bacteria; Pseudomonadati; Gemmatimonadota. The record is from RNAcentral.
GUGACUGUAGCUCAGCUGGUUAGAGCACCGGACUGUGGCUCCGGGGGUCGCGGGUUCAAACCCCGUCAGUCACC